RNAcentral lists this long non-coding RNA (560 nucleotides) under Setaria italica (foxtail millet). Its description in RNAcentral is "long non-coding RNA (SITA_LNC006606)". Lineage: Eukaryota; Viridiplantae; Streptophyta; Magnoliopsida; Poales; Poaceae. The record is from RNAcentral.
AGAUGGAUGGAUGGAUGGAUGGUUGAGAAUUAAAAAGGAAGAGGCUACCAUACUACCAUGUGAGUUGAGCAGCAGUGUAGUAUUAGGUUCUGGAAAUUACCCGGAUCUAUAAAAUAAUUGCUGCUACCAGAGAGAGCAGCAUGCAGUGUGGAGUAGUAUAUCUGUGUCUCCAAUAUAUGGAUAUUUCUGGCUGCCUGCGCAUGUGAAACGAACAUGCACGGCACGGCGCGUCGUGUGUGAUUUGAUUCCACACCUCCACCAUGCCGGUGGUGUUGCCACCGUCACCGAUGGAACGAAAAGGCGCGCGGCUUUACACCUGUCCCUCCUUCGUCUCCGCAGACCCGCCGCCGCCGCCGCCGUGCCCUUCUUUCAUCUCUUGCUUCUCCCUACGACCCCUGCCUCUCAGCUGUGCACGACGCAGCUUGGUUUGGCUGGCCGGAUCGCGCUGGCGGGGGCGAGGGGGGCUCUGACUUGCUGGGCUCGAUCGGGUUUGGCCCGUGCACGGACCUUAAUAGCUGCUGCUGGUGCGUUGGGUAUGUGCCGUCUAUACCGGAGAACUU